UACCAGCACCCCGAGUGGUCGGGACGUUUAUUGGGCGUAAAGCGUCUGUAGGUGGCUUUUUAAGUCCGCCGUCAAAUCCCAGGGCUCAACUCUGGACAGGCGGUGGAAACUACCAAACUGGAGUACGGUAGGGGCAGAGGGAAUUUCCGGUGGAGCGGUGAAAUGCGUAGAGAUCGGAAAGAACACCAACGGCGAAAGCACUCUGCUGGGCCGACACUGACACUGAGAGACGAAAGCUAGGGGAGCGAAUGGG
Molecule: ribosomal RNA, 253 nt
Filed under: uncultured bacterium
Lineage: Bacteria
Description: partial 16S ribosomal RNA
Rfam family: Bacterial small subunit ribosomal RNA (bases 27-253)
Source: RNAcentral